AGGGGCUUGGACGGGGUAUUCAGUGUGGUUUUAACAUUGAGUGUAGAGGAGGAUCAACUGCAGACUGGCUCCCCUUCCUCUUCUUUCAGCUAAACUCCAGAGGUCUACUUUUGUCCCGUUAGGAUUCACAGGGCACCAUCAUGGAGGAUUUGGACUUUGAGCGGCGCCGGGAGCUGAGGAGGCAAAAGCGGGAGGAGAUGCGUCUGGAGGCGGAACGCAUGCUCAGGAACGAUGACGACGAGGAGGAGGCUGCCCGCGAGAGGAGGCGCAGGGCACGCCAGGAGAGGCUGAGGAGCAGGGAGAGCGAGGAGCCAAGCAGCCAGCCAGACAGCAGCGUCCUGACCAACAGCCACAGCGUGACAGAAUCCGUCUCUGUGAGCAGCUCCUAUGGAUAUGGCGGGGAGGAUGAGGACCAGGCCUUGCAGGAGCGCAUGGCCAAGCGAGAGGAGAGACGGCAGAGGCGCAUGAAGGAGGCGCUGGAGAGGCAGAGGCAGCUGGACCCCACCGCCGCGGACGCCGGCGACGGCGUCGGCCUGGAGAAAAACAGCACAGAGGAGGAGAGACACACGCGCGGCCGGCGUUACCGUGACACCGUGGAGGAGGAAGAGAAGACUGAAAGCAUCAGCUCGAGGCGGGAGGAAAAAGAACCAGAGGAACCUAGAGAGGAGGAAGAGGAAGCUGCUCCUGAGAGAGAGGAAGAGGAGGAGCAGAGGGAUGAAGCUGUAGAAACCAAACCAAGACAGUCUUACAUGAGAGAACAGGCAUCAACAGAGGAGACUGUAAUGCAACACAAGGUGGACGAGAGGGAAGACUCUGAGGAGGAUCAGAGGAAGCAUAACGGAGGGCUGCAUGACGAGGCAGCUCCCAGACAGCACAAGAAACCUGAGAGGACCCUCAGCCGCAGCAGUGUCCGUUCCCCCGAGGUGUCCGCUGGCGACGAGCAGGAUGACGACGCCCGCCUUGAGGCAGAGCGCAAGCUGGAGGAGCUGAAGCGCCGGCGUGAUGACGCAGAGAGCGAGGAGUUCGAGAGGAUGAGGCAGAAGCAGCAGGAGGCCGAAGCUGAGCUGGAGGAGCUGAAAAGGAAGCGGGAGGAGAGGAGGAAGGUGCUGGAGGAGGAGGAGAGGCAGCGGAAGCAGGAGGAGGCGGAACGGAAAGCCAGAGAGGAGGAGGAGAAGAGGAAGAUGAAAGAGGAGAUUGAGAGGAGAAGGGCUGAGGCCGCUGAGAAGAGACAGAAGGUGGACGAUCCCGUGGACGGCGAGGAGAAACCAUUCAAGUGUGUCAGUCCUCGAGGCUCUUCUCUGAAGAUUGGAGAAAGGGCAGAAUUCCUGAACAAGUCUGCACAGAAAAGCACUGUGAAGGCCUCUCAUUCUCCUGUGGUGUCCAAGAUAGACAACAGGCUGGAGCAGUACACCUCAGCUGCUCAGCGAGAGAACAAGGAAUCCAGAUCCCCUCGCUCAACUGUUUUGGAUCUUCCCUUGGUCACUGAUGUGCGAAACAUUAAGAGCAUGUGGGAGAAAGGCAACGUGUUUGGCUCGCCCGGAAGUGGCGGAAGCACUUUUAAGGAAGCAGCUGUGAUAAAGACGGGCGUGGCGGGCCGCAUCAACGACUGGCUGAAUAAAACCCCAGAGAGCGGCAAGACGUCAGGAGGAAGGCCAACGGACCUGAAACCCGUUGAUGUCACCAACAAGAGGAGUCUAUGGGAAAACAAAGGCGCCACUCCAACAAAGAACUCUCACAGCUAGUUGACCUCGGCAUUCGAUCUGGAAUAAGCCUGCAGAGAUGGCAGGCAGAGGAGAGGCCAAAUCAGUUGCUAACGGUAUGGGACACUAAUGUCUUGACGGAGCCACUAAAAAUGGGGACCGCGACAAUCCAAGAUUCUACCUUUUGAACAGUUUUUCCUUUUUAUCUCCCUAUAAACCAAAUGAAAUCCAGAUCCUUACGAGGGGACCACAAAGACGCUGACCUCGCACUGUACUGAAACACCACCCUUGUUUUUUCUUUGCCAAUCUUAGUACUUUUGCACAAUGGGUUAGGCUUUGACAAUAAUGAAAAAAAUGCUGUGAAAUUUGGACAUUUUAGAACCUAAAAAAAAAAUCAGAAUCAAGCGUUAGUAUUUUUUAUACUCUAGCGGACAGGUUUAAAAGUUCCCACAUUCCAAAGAGACGAGUGAAACCACCUCUCCACCUCUUACAGAUUACAUUCCAUCUCUCCUUUAUUAUUAUUAUUUUUUUUUAUUUAUAUUUAAAGAGACCGCUUCACACUUUGCUAUUUUAUACUCAGCAGCCACCUGUUCAGGAUAGAAAUGUAAGCACUUCUAGAUUUUAGCUGAUUUCACUUGUUUAAUGUUUUAACAAUAGCAAAGCAAAAGUCUGAGUAAUAUAAGUUAGCACAUGUGACGUUCUGAUCAUCUUUGUAUCAUCUAUAACAUCGCUAUGCGCAUAGAAGGUAUGUUUCGCUUUUUUAUUUAGUAUCAAAAACUCACCAACAGAGGGUUAUAUUUGAAGGUGAAAGGGAGUGCUGAAUAUUUAGAAGGCCAUUAUGACUUUUAUUAUUAUCCUUUGUCAUUUUAAUUUAAGUUUUAAUGUGUUUUAUCUUAUCUAUCUGUUCUUUUUUUUAGCUUUUAUUGAUCAAUUUAAACAGUACUGAUGAAAAAAGUGGUUGAUCUUUACAGAUUUCUUCUGUUUUUUUUAUUUUUAUUGUCGCACCUAAAUGUCUCUUUUAAUAUCACCUAAGGUACAGGUGUUAUUUCUUAAAGGCUGUGAUUCAUUGCAUUUCUUUAGAAAGCUGGAAGCACUUUUACUGCCUUAAAUGUAAAUGUAAAAAAAGGAAAAUGUCUGACGGCAUGAAGUAGGCGAAAAUAUGUCAAAGUCUUUAUAAAAUCCAAUCAAAGGAAAUGGAAGAACUGAUAAGAAACAGUGUUAUUAUCCAUUCAAAAUACCUAGAGUCUAACAUGGUGGUGGUAGUAUGAUGGUCUGGUUUCUUUUUACUUGGUUCAGGAGGUAAAAAUUCUGCUUUCGAGUAGAAAACUACUCACCAACAAGUCCAUAUCUAAAUGUCCCCAUGAAACAAAUGUUUUUUUUUGAGUGGGCUCUUCAAAAUCAGCACUCUAACGUGACGUUACUCUUCCAGCGACUGAAUUCAUCAGAUUUGCAAAAACUUCUUAAUAGCCGUAUCAAAAAAAAAAAAAAACACUCCGUGUGUCAUUUAAGUGCAACAUUUAACCUUAAAACAGAAUGAAUCUCUAAAGAUGCAAACUUUUUCUUAGCAGCACUGUAAAAAAAAUAAAUAUUCAGACAAAAUCUUCUUACAUUCCUCUGAAUGCUCGUGGUGCCUUCUCUGCUUGAAGCUGUCCUGUACAGAAAAAGUGCAAGUCAUGUUUUGUAUUCUGCCUUCUACAGUAAUCUCUUAAAAGCUCAAGCAAUACCUUAAUUAAGGGCAUGUUAUGUAAUGUCGCUGUCACACCUUGACCAUUUAGCCAGGGUAUGCCGACAUCCCAGAAUCCUCUAAAAUGCUGGCAUAUGCUGAACUUUCUAUGCAUUUUUUCAAUUUUGGGCGUAUGCAUAGAGUAUUCAUAAUGAGUCCAGAACUUAUGUCCAACGACAGCCUAACUUGUCCUGCAGGUUUUAGAGGUUUCUCUGUUUUAGCACAGCUGAUUCUGAUGAUUGCAGUUCAGCAAAAGCCUGUUAAUCAACUAUCAAUGUAAAGCAGCUGUGCUGGAGCAGGGAAACCUCUAAAACCUGCAGGACAGCGAACCUGGAGGACCGACUUUGCAGAUCCCUGGCCUAACUUAUGCAUGAUGCACGGCAGCGUAAUGCUCAUGAUAUGACACAAGCAUGAAGGCGUUAAGGAGACGCUCAGCCUAUAUAAAAAGCACAAUAAGAAGAUUUCUCUAAACUCCGCAGUAACUGUAUUACCUUGCUUCUGUUUACCGCCAAAAAACAAAUAAAAAGAAAGAAGGUUUGCAGCCGCAGCAGAUUCAGCGUCAUGUCUGCUAGGAAGUUUGUUGGUCGAGGCCGUCGGUGUGAACGCAGGGAGGAUCCAUUUACACUCACCUUCUUGCUCAGCCUAUGAUGGGGAUAAUAUGAGCUGGAUAAGUUAGCAUUACUUAUGAGUAACUUACAAUUAACCUUUCUCAACGAUCACAUAACUUAUGUCCUACGUAUGAGCAUAGAAAUGUUGAGCAUGCUUGCAUAUUUGCCGUAUGUCAACAUGCCAGCGUGCCCAUAACAUACAAAACCGAUGUAUGCCUGCGUUUUUGCCAAAUUUUUUAUACGUCAACAUCACCUGACUAAAUGAAAGUAUGACAGCGG
Cyprinodon variegatus (sheepshead minnow) is the source of this 4310-nucleotide RNA transcript. It is a transcript of the gene named non-muscle caldesmon-like, with no coding region annotated. The record is from RefSeq and is a predicted model, not a curated record. The transcript is spliced from 16 exons. NCBI's taxonomy places the organism in Eukaryota, Metazoa, Chordata, Actinopteri, Cyprinodontiformes, Cyprinodontidae.